GAAGAAGAAUUGUUGUAAGAGGAGGUAUCCGUUGACGGGGUAUGAAUAGCCUGGGGAUUUCGUGUAAGCCGUUCUGAAGGGAGCGGGCCGUACGUGGAGAGACGCGCGAUACUGAAAUAUAAUUUAUGACUGCCUGCAGCCUGAAAGCCACAUGGAAAAGGGAAGUAUGAACGGGGCUUAAUUGAGGCAGAUCUUGAGCCCUGAUAAGCAGAGACCUGCUGCAGUAGCACGUGAAGCUGGGUGUUUAGACCCCUCUGACUGUACACACAGAAAUGACUGACGGCAUCCCGGCUGUCUGCUCACAUAACCACCUGUGCUGCUGAAAUGACCCCAGUAAGAUAAUCGUACACAACACAGAAUAUCAAAGCAUGCAAAGGACAAGGGCAUUUUAUCUGCACUAACAGUCUUUGUACUGUUUGGUUACUAAAGAAACACAUGGCAGUAUUACAGUGAAUACUUAGAUAUUAAAUUUAUAUUAUCAAUAACCUGUUACAUGCAAAUAUUAGCAUAGCAAUUACAAAUGUUUUGAUACAAACACCCAGGGGAGUUUCCAGCUACUGAAAAGAUCAGGGACUGAGUCAAGUUACCAGGGGUUUGACUAUUUUCUCUUUUAAAGGAAGAUUGACAUUGGGGGUAAAAUACUCAGAGCUACAGCCCUGACUGAUCUGGCCUAACGACGCCCAUGAAUACAACCAUAGGAAUCCAAAAAAUAUUCAAAAUUUCCAAGACAACGUUACACAAGGCAGGUGAAUCUCUUCAAAAUUGAUAUUUUGCUAUUUCUCCUGACCAGAUCUCCAUCCUGAUCUCCAUACUGUGGCUGACAGUGUGUGAGGAGCAGGAGAGAGAUCUCUACUCAGUUCACUGUAAUGAGUGACACUCACCUGUGAGCCCAGCGAUGAGAAGAAACACGAGCAUCAGAGGAUCCAUACGUGUGUGUGUCACUGAGCCCAGACCUGUGCAGAGUGACUCUCACUUCCUCAUCCUCUGUACCUUCACUGUUUUUGUCAUUUCUAUUGUUACACACAGCAGGCAGAGUGAAGGAGGAGUGUACAUUUUAAAGAGGAAGUGAGAAAACCACAAGGCUGAAUGUUUAGCCCUUCAGAAAGUCUGACCAUUAUUAUUAGUGUGUAGAGAAUUAAAUCAACUAUCAAUGCACAGACUCAAUUCACAAAAUAAAAAAUCUGCAUGAAUAAAGAAGACCAUGAAUUUCUCUGUUUAUCAUAGUUAUUUAUUAUUAGUAUAAUUAUCUGGAUCCUAAUGCUGGAAGCACACAGUGUAAAGUGAGGUAAACCUUCAACAGCACGUCAGUCCACUGCAGGGCACUGGAAGCUGGAGAAAUGCCAUGUGAUAAUAAUAAUAAUAAUAAUCAUUGAUACUUUAUUGAUCCCCGUAGGUAAAUUGUCUUUAUGCCUUCCACAACUUGCUCUUUUUUCAUAGGGUAAGUUGUCUACUAAGGACUGCCACCCAUAGCGGCGCCCAGGGAGCUGGGGGUUAAGGGCCUCACUCAAGGACCCACAGGCUGAGGCUGGGUUUGAACCUGCAACCUUCUGAUUACAGGCACACAGGCUUAGCCCACAGAGCCACAUGCUGCCCCCAAUAACCCAGAUGGGACUCAAACCCACGAUCCGCAGCUCCGGAGGCUGAUGCCUUAUCCAUUAGGCCACUGGGUCAGUGAUAUCAGUGAUCAGAGGAAGGAUCAGAGGAAGCCUGCAAACUGCAGAGAGACACAGUCAUGGUCACAUUCAAAGCCAACACUCAGGAGUGCUGAGAUAGCAGGUGUAUCAGUCAGAUAUCUAAUAUCAUGAUGAGCUAAAAACACAGAGGGACUUUGAGGAAGCACAGCAAGACCAACAGAAGACAUGGGCUCCUGACAGUAAGGCCUCAAGAUCCAUCAUUUUACUGUUGCAGUCCAGUUGCUCUUAGCUGCAAUUGCAGCCAAAGAAAAAAAAAUGUAAAUUUUCAGCUUGCCUACUUUCCUGUGUUAGUCAUGUGACUCACAGCAAUUUUCUGCAGCUUCACAAGUAAACUGAAAUAAACUGUGAGGUAUAAAACAGUGAUGUCACAUCCUGCCUGCCAUGUCUGCCUGACCCUCCUGUCUCCUCCCUCACGUGACCAUGAUGGGCUACACCUGGUGCUUGUUGCCCCUCAUUAGUCUAUGUAUACAAGCACCUGUUUGUCUCACCAUUGCUUGUCUGGUGAUAAACAUCACUUGUCCUGUCAGUCCAUGUCCUUCUUUGUCCUAACCUUCUCAUUCUGAUCCCUGCAGUCGUGUUAAUUUGCAAUCCCUGUGUGUUUACUUUAAUUAAACCUCUUUUCUGUUUUGCCAAACACCUGCCAUGGAGUCCCGCAUGUUGUGACGGAAUGAUUGAACAAUUCAAUUCAAUUCAAUUGUGCAGUACAUUUCCCAUUACAGUAUCUCUAGGCACUUUACAUUAUCGCUGCCCAAACCCCACAGUGAGGAAGCCAGAGGUAACAGUGGUAAGGAAAAUCUCCCUAGAAGACAGAAACUUUUGAGGAACCAGACGCAGAGGGGGAGCCCAUCCUCCAGGGGGCCGGCAGAGGACAUCAAAUGAGCAAGAUAACAGACAAUCCUCUCAUCGACCCACUGAGCGAGAGCGACCUCGAGGACCCUGAGGAGUCGCCCGGCGGGUGGAUCACCCCACCCAUGUGGGGGUCAUACUGGGCUCACCUUCACUACGGAGAAGACACCCCCACAUUGACCCUCCAGAGCCCCACGUCUCCAAGGUGGGUUGGUUUGACACUCUAUCCUCUAUCCUAAGUCCCGGUGCAGUCAGCAGUAUCUCCUGGGCUGCAGUAGAGGGGCUGGCUGAGUCUCCGUCUCCAACAGAGGGAGAUGGGGGACACACUAUCUGGAUCAGUCACCCAGACUCUUGUCUAAUCGACGUUAUUCCGCCUGACGACACUCCUGCUGCGGCUGAGAGGAGAGGAGCCACGCCGUCCUCCUGCUCCUGUCCUGCAGUUCUCUCAGCACCCUGCAGCCUCACUGGCCCUCCGAGCCUCUCAGGUCCUCUCCAGAAUCAUUGUAGCUCAGAGAAUAAAAAUACAUGCAAGUGAAGCAAAUAUGUCAGAUUUAUCUCUGAACUGUUUGAUUUCCUUGUUUUUCACUCAUGCAUGUGCAGAAAGCAGCUAAAUCAUUAGCAUGAUGCAGAAAAUAUUUUUACACUUAUUCUGAAAAGCAGAAAUGUCGUCAUACAGGAUGUGAGGGUGAGACUCUGCAGAAACACUGUGCUGUAUACAGAGGGUCUGUCCUCAGGCCUUUGGUUCAGCCUUUAUUAUGUGUUAUACAGUUUUCUAUAGUGCCACUGUAGUAGGUCCUUUUAA
This is a long non-coding RNA of Brienomyrus brachyistius, 3342 nucleotides long. RefSeq lists it as uncharacterized. The transcript is spliced from 3 exons. The record is from RefSeq and is a predicted model, not a curated record. Lineage: Eukaryota; Metazoa; Chordata; Actinopteri; Osteoglossiformes; Mormyridae.